RNAcentral lists this ribosomal RNA (463 nucleotides) under uncultured bacterium. RNAcentral's name for it is "bacterial SSU rRNA". It matches the Rfam family "Bacterial small subunit ribosomal RNA", at positions 338 to 793 of the family's 1533-position model. The record is from RNAcentral.
CCUACGGGAGGCAGCAGUGGGGAAUAUUGGACAAUGGGGGCAACCCUGAUCCAGCAAUACCGCGUGUGUGAAGAAGGCCUGAGGGUUGUAAAGCACUUUCAAUUGUGAAGAAAAGCUAGUGGUUAAUAGCCAUUAGCCUUGACGUUAACUUUAGAAGAAGCACCGGCUAACUCCGUGCCAGCAGCCGCGGUAAUACGGAGGGUGCAAGCGUUAAUCGGAAUUACUGGGCGUAAAGCGUGCGUAGGCGGUUUAUUAAGUCAGAUGUGAAAGCCCCGGGCUUAACCUGGGAACUGCAUUUGAAACUGGUCAACUAGAGUAUGGUAGAGGAAAGUGGAAUUUCUGGUGUAGCGGUGAAAUGCGUAGAUAUCAGAAGGAACAUCAAUGGCGAAGGCAACUUUCUGGACCAAUACUGACGCUGAGGUACGAAAGCGUGGGUAGCAAACAGGAUUAGAUACCCUGGUAG